RNAcentral lists this ribosomal RNA (301 nucleotides) under uncultured bacterium. RNAcentral describes it as "partial 16S ribosomal RNA". It matches the Rfam family "Bacterial small subunit ribosomal RNA", at positions 509 to 807 of the family's 1533-position model. The record is from RNAcentral.
CAGCCGCCACGGGAAUACAGAGGGUGCGAGCGUUAAUCGGAUUUACUGGGCGUAAAGCGUGCGUAGGCGGCUUCUUAAGUCGGAUGUGAAAUCCCUGAGCUUAAAUUAGGAAUUGCAUUCGAUACUGGGAAGCUAGAGUAUGGGAGAGGAUGGUAGAAUUCCAGGUGUAGCGGUGAAAUGCGUAGAGAUCUGGAGGAAUACCGAUGGCGAAGGCAGCCAUCUGGCCUAAUACUGACGCUGAGGUACGAAAGCAUGGGGAGCAAACAGGAUUAGAUACCCCAGUAGUCCCUGUCUCUUAUAC